GACGAACGCUGGCGGCGUGCUUAACACAUGCAAGUCGAACGGAAAGGCCCUGCUUUUUUGGGGUUCUCGAGUGGCGAACGGGUGCGUAACACGUGAGUAACCUGCCCUUGACUUUGGUAUAACUUCAGGAAACUGGGGCUAAUACCGGAUAGGAUCUCCUGCUGCAUUGUGGGGGUUGGAAAGUUUCGGCUGUUGGGGUUGGACUCGCGGCUUAUCAGCUUGUUGGUGGGGUAGUGGCUUACCAAGGCAUUGACGGGUAGCCGGCCUGGGAGGGUGGACGGGCACAAGGGGACUGAGGGAGGGAGCAGAGGCGAACGGGAGGCAGCGGGGGGGAGUAUUGCACAGUGGGCGGGAGUCUGAUGCGGCGACGCCGGGGGCGGGAUGACGGCCUUCGGGUUGAAAACAGCUGUAGGCUGUGACGAAGCGGGAGUGACGGUAAUGGGUGAAGAAGCACCGGCUAACUACGUG
Molecule: ribosomal RNA, 468 nt
Filed under: uncultured bacterium
Lineage: Bacteria
Description: partial 16S ribosomal RNA
Rfam family: Bacterial small subunit ribosomal RNA
Source: RNAcentral